GUGGGGGAUAUUGCACAAUGGAGGAAACUCUGAUGCAGCGACGCCGCGUGAGUGAAGAAGUAUUUCGGUAUGUAAAGCUCUAUCAGCAGGGAAGAUAAUGACAGUACCUGACUAAGAAGCCCCGGCUAACUACGUGCCAGCAGCCGCGGUAAUACGUAGGGGGCAAGCGUUAUCCGGAUUUACUGGGUGUAAAGGGAGCGUAGACGGAAUGGCAAGUCUGAAGUGAAAUCCUGCGGCUUAACUGCAGAAUGGCUUUGGAAACUGUCAAUCUGGAGUGUUGGAGAGGUAAGCGGAAUUCCUGGUGUAGCGGUGAAAUGCGUAGAUAUCAGGAAGAACACCGGAGGCGAAGGCGGCUUACUGGACAAUAACUGACGUUGAGGCUCGAAAGCGUGGGAAGCAAACAGGAUUAGAAACCCUAGUAGUCC
This 425-nucleotide ribosomal RNA is filed under the name uncultured bacterium. Its description in RNAcentral is "partial 16S ribosomal RNA". It matches the Rfam family "Bacterial small subunit ribosomal RNA", at positions 354 to 796 of the family's 1533-position model. The record is from RNAcentral.